AUUGAACGCUGGCGGCAUGCUUUACACAUGCAAGUCGAGCGGCAGCGCGGCCUUCGGGCUGGCGGCGAGCGGCGCACGGGUGAGUAAUGCAUCGGAACAUGCCCAGUCGUGGGGGAUAACACUUCGAAAGAAGUGCUAAUACCGCAUACGUCCUGAGGGGGAAAGCGGGGGAUCGCAAGACCUCGCGCGAUUGGAGUGGCCGAUGUCAGAUUAGCUAGUUGGUGGGGUAAAGGCCUACCAAGGCGACGAUCUGUAGCUGGUCUGAGAGGAUGAUCAGCCACACUGGGACUGAGACACGGCCCAGACUCCUACGGGAGGCAGCAGUGGGGAAUUUUGGACAAUGGGGGCAACCCUGAUCCAGCCAUUCCGCGUGAGUGAAGAAGGCCUUCGGGUUGUAAAGCUCUUUCGGCAGGAACGAAACGGUGGGCUCUAACAUAGUCCGCUAAUGACGGUACCUGAAGAAGAAGCACCGGCUAACUACGUG
This 484-nucleotide ribosomal RNA is filed under the name uncultured bacterium. Its description in RNAcentral is "partial 16S ribosomal RNA". It matches the Rfam family "Bacterial small subunit ribosomal RNA", at positions 30 to 507 of the family's 1533-position model. The record is from RNAcentral.